GUGUCAGCAGCCGCGGUAAGACAGAGGUCCCAAGCGUUAGGCGGAAUCACUGGGCUUAAAGCGUGUGUAGGCGGAUUAGCAAGUACUUUGUGAAAUCCCACGGCUUAACCGUGGAACUGCUUGGUAUACUGCUAGUCUUGAGGCAUCUAGAGGCAACUGGAACAAACGGUGGAGCGGUGAAAUGCGUAGAUAUCGUUUGGAACGCCCAAGGUGAAAACAGGUUGCUGGGGAUGUACUGACGCUGAGACACGAAAGCCAGGGGAGCAAACGGGAUUAGAUACCCCCGUAGUCC
RNAcentral lists this ribosomal RNA (292 nucleotides) under uncultured bacterium. RNAcentral's name for it is "partial 16S ribosomal RNA". It matches the Rfam family "Bacterial small subunit ribosomal RNA", at positions 505 to 796 of the family's 1533-position model. The record is from RNAcentral.